GAACGCACAUUGCGCCCCUUGGUAUUCCGUGAGGCAUGCCUGUCUGAGCGUCAGCAACACCACUCAAGCUUUGUAUUAUUGCAUUGUUUGGAUCAUAUCAGGGAAGUAGUUUGGUUGUCCUGCUACCCCUUGAAAAGUAAUAGAUGGUCAGGUUGUUACCCUAUACCAAAUAUCAUAUGAUUUCUAUCUUUUAUUUGUAAGAGUAACUUCUUGACAGUCACUGAACCCACAGUUUGAUACUGUUUUUUCUGACUUGACCUCAGAUCAGGUAGGGAUACCCGCUGAACUUAAG
RNAcentral lists this unclassified non-coding RNA (292 nucleotides) under uncultured fungus. RNAcentral describes it as "sequence contains 5.8S rRNA gene". The record is from RNAcentral. Lineage: Eukaryota; Fungi.